UGAAUAUAUCUAUUUGCCGCUGACGUACCCAUAAAGCCAUGCGGCUCGUAAUACAUAUGUGUAAGUAGGUAAAAUACCUAAUAUUAAACAGAACGACCAAUUCAGUACAACUACAAAAAUUUGCCGCACAUGACAUUGGAGCGCUGAGGGUUCUCACCCGGUACAAAAUUUAAGACAACAGGCCUGAGGGUGCCUCAGGGCGUCGUCUCAGAGGAAGAAUACCUAUUUGGAAGAAUCAAUCGACCCUAGUGGGUCGAUAGCGAUAAACUCUGAAUGAGGGAAAUCGUCCACCACGCCGGCGGGAUCGGGGUUCUGGGGUUGGUGUCGCGUGCUGAUUGGCCGCCUCUAUGGCUAGAGUAAUCGGGUCGUCGGGAUCGUAUAUUACAUCCUUGAUUAUUGCACACACAUACAAGAAACCUAUUAAAAUAUACACAACAAAUAUACAGCAGCCUUGCUGUUCUACAGCGACUUGUUCCAGGCGAGCAGAGGCAGGAAGUAUUAGUACAUUUUGAUGCCAUGUUUUUUCAUUUAGUACCUAUUCUUAGUCUAGCACGGAAACAAGGUAUUAUAAAUUAUCUGUUUCUAUGGGAAAAAUAUUCUCCUAAAAAUAUUAAUAAUAAAAAUAACUGAUAAGCACUCGUUAAUUCAA
This is a long non-coding RNA of Pectinophora gossypiella (pink bollworm), 649 nucleotides long. RefSeq lists it as uncharacterized. NCBI's taxonomy places the organism in Eukaryota, Metazoa, Arthropoda, Insecta, Lepidoptera, Gelechiidae. The record is from RefSeq and is a predicted model, not a curated record. The transcript has 3 exons.